GAAGAUUUCCAGCCAUCUGACAUUUCCAAAAUGGGUUCACGCACGCACACCAGCACACUUGUUCCUAUGGGCGAUCAGUCACUUGUUUCUAUGAGCGAUCACCACCAGGUUCAUUUCAUUUGCCCAACGGUCGCGGACAUUGUCAUGACGUUUGCUCUUUUUUCGGGUCUGCGCGAUCAGCUGAUCAUGAUGGCCGCCAAAAGCAGGUUUUCAGCUCAACCGAGCAUUAUUAAUCAUAAGCCGAAAGAGAGGGCACCUCCAACAGAGUGAGUGGGAAAGACAACAAACGCUUUUCAAAUACCACAAAAUUUAUGGCUUGAAGCCAAGCCGACGGCAAGCAGUCCGCGACAUGCACAAAAGUCAUUUAUUUCGCGGACUCUGCUUUUUGACCUAGAAAAUCAUCGGUAGUCGCUGCGAUUCCGAUUCGUAUCUCCCAGAUACACACGCACUUCCGCUGCCGCCGAACUCAUAAAUUAUCUGCACUACUUUUCCACAAAUUUCAAACGGGAACAGGGGGGGACCAAACUCCUUUAGGGUCUCCGAUUUCAAAUCCCUAACUCGCUGAAAGUCCUGCAAACUAUAGACCCUUCAUUUGUACGCUGACCAACGCCUUGAACGGAUCUUACAGCUUUCGCAGCCGUGAUCUUGACCAAGAUCGAGGCCAGUUUACCGCCGGCAUUUCGCGAUCUUAGCAGCGCGUUCUUUUGUUUUCCUAUUCCCCCCGUUCGUAUCGUUUCUCGUGUGUUUUUGCUGAUCUGGAGCAAAUUGGUUUUUGGCGGUUAAUAAAUUUUCAAAUUAAUUGACUAAUUGCAUACCUACAGCGGAGCAAACAGAAUGGCAAUAAAAGUGAAUCGAAAGAGAGCAGCCGAAAAGAUACGGAUGUAAAUUCCGCGAUAAGACGGGUUCCAGGAUAUUUGAAGCCAGUGGCUCAUCGCGAGCAAAUAUGGUCACUACUCCCCAAAGAGGUGAUUCCAUCUACGAUGUAUCUGUUUUUCGAGUUCCAACCGUUCAUUAAGUGUAGCUAAGCAAACAAACUGCAAUUCCAACGUGUGUUCACUUUGGAUCAAAGAUUCAAAUGGACGUUUUAAUGACACAAUGAUAUGGUAAAUUACGCCAGUGUAAAUGCUAUUAGCUGUGGCCUGUAAUCACGGCUGCUAAAAGGAGCUUAAAGUGUUUUGCUUUGUAUGAGUAGUGCUUAUUGACUCAAUAUUAAAUACACGGUGUUUUGAAAGAUUUUGAAGAAAAGAAAUUUGCUCUAUUCGAAUUUUAUCAUUGUGAUAAACAACAUUCUAUAUUUCUAAUAAUAUAAAAUAUUAUCUUAUUUUCUGAGCUUCAGUACCAAUAAUUAGCACAUACUUUGCCAGUUCAUUCAGAUCUCCCCAAAGUGUUCAUUACGGCAAUGAGGCCAAAAUUACUAAUUCAUUAAUUGAAACCUGCCUCAGUCCGGUGCUGACCAGGCCACGCCAGAUGUCCAUUGGCUCUUUGCUCGUUGGCGACACACGCCACGAUGUCCUUGCCAGGGCCACCCCCCCCCCCUUUCGUCCUGGCCGUCCUGCAGAUGCUGCAAAUGCCAACGGUAAAAACGAAAGUGCCCUGUUGCCAUUUUAUGAACUGUUUCUGCUCCGUUGGAAAGAGUACAACACUUACACUUGCCACACACAAAGUGCUCCCCAGUUAAUAAUUUCGAUGUGUGUAAAAUCAAAUUGCCAGCACGUUGCGAAUGCGGAUGUGUGAGCGGAGUAUCUCUCGGAUAACAUGAGUGCUGUGUGUUGGGCUAAUUUGCCAGUGAUUUGAAGCCCAUCAAAUUAAUGGUAGAAUUCUUCUUUGAGUUUUGCUUCGGGAAUAAUUUAUGCAUAAGCGUGGUGCGACGAUUUUUGAACUUUCUUUUUCGUUUCCAGCAUAUGUGGCAUUUUCGCACUCUGCACAUUCUUUUAUUGUCUAUUUUUUUUUUUUGUUGGGUGUGCCAGGACGGACAUUUGUCCGUAUUGCAGGUGCUGUCGUUUGUUUGUCUGGACUGGGUCUACUACUCUUUCUCGUUCUCCAUUUCUCCUUUCUCUACUGGCUGUUAUUGUGUAAUGUCUAUGAAUAUGAAUUAUGGAAAUUGCAGAGCCACAACGACAAGGACAACGACCAGCGAACAAGAGCCUGAGUAUUCAAAAUACUCACAGUCGCAUUUGGCACAAUUUUUUGUUGGCCAUUUUUUGUCAUUCGCUCGCGAAUUUUAAAACUCUCCUGGGAGGGUUUUUUGUUGAUUUUUGGGGGCGGUGUUUCCGCAUGUUUGCAGGCGAUUUUUGAGGUCGUUGGUACAGUGACCGAGUUUGGUUUUUUAUGGAUUCGAUCUAUUUUAAAGGUUUGACUGAAGAUUUGUUAACUAUGUAGGAUGAUCAGGAAUCCUUGCUUGAAUGUCUAGCUACCACAACCUUAUAAAAAAUAUAAUAAACAAAUUCGAUCUUUUUCUGCGUUCAUCCUGCAACUUGAAAAAAUCCCACAUAAAUUCAAUUAAAUCGAACACCGGCUCUGGCGAUUCCAAUAUUAUACAAUCGAAUAAAAAAUAAGGAGCUCUCGUUUGCCCUCAUGUGCCACGCCCACUGCGUCGGACAUCCGCCGCUGACAUUUACAUUUAAUGCUUGCAAAUUUAACAAAUAAUAUUCAAUUAACAAUUUGAAUAUGAAUUUAUUACAGGGGUGCCGGCCGACGGAGGCCGAACCGCGCGUCCAAAGUGGUAACAACUUCGACAUCGCCAAUCGACAUGUGAGGGGAGGGUUUUUAGCGGGAAGUAACGAGUUGGCCAAGUGGCCGACUUGUUUACCCUGCCACCAGCAAACACACAAGGCGAAAAACAGACCAAAAAAAAAAAACAAAACAAAAACAACCACGCUGAAAACAAAACAAAGCCGGGGAGGCGAAAAAAAGUUAUGUGAAAAAGGUGGGAAAAUGCAAGCAUUGUUAGCCUUUUGGUCAGGCUAAAAGGUAACGAAGCAUGCAGCCACUGACGGAUAAACGGACAAACGGACAGCUAUACGGACAUUCAGAUGGAGGAAGCCGCGCAGGAAGCACAAGGAGCAUGCCACGACUCCUGGCAGGCCGCACAUUUCAAUAAUUAUUAACUGCAACAUGCUACAUGCAACAUGGCCACAUGGCCACAUGCAACCUGCAACGCGCCGCACAGUAGCAAUACACACACAAACAUAUAGAGUAACUAGGGGGACCAGCAAUUAUCAAAACUUGUCCAAAUUGACAUUUUUUCCCGGCCAGCCAGGUGGACGCACAUGCAUUUUAGAGUUGGGGGUGUCAGCCCGUUGGCCAUUGCAUUUUGGCACGUUGCGGAUUUUGAAAUGCAAACACGGCAUUUAAUUCUAUUAAGGCCGCUAUUUAAUUAUCUCUUGCGGCCACGGACCCAAAUCGCGGCUUUCAAUGUCAGAGAAGCCGGAAGAGAGUGGUUCCCCUGUUUCGAUCCAAAGACCCCUCCCCCACAAGUUGCCCCUUAAGUGCUGGGCAUAAUCCACAGCCAGAAGCUGUGGGGCUUAUCGGUGCUUAUCUGUGAGAGUCAAAAGUGAUGCCACACGGUGAAAAGUGGAAAUCGAAUUCGGCUUUAACUGAUCGAUUGUUUAAUGAUUAAUUGCUUGAGAAAUUGCAUUCCCAUUUUUGUCAUGCAAAAUAAUGAUGUAUCAGUGUGGAAAAUUUAAAGUUUAUGUAUUCUUGCAAGCUAAUCAUUUUCUAUUUCACCAGAUCAGAACAUCUUGUUGAACGACACACUUUUCUCUCCGUGCACAGUUGGUGGAUCUUGAAUCUGGGAUAGUUGAUCGCAGAUUCCCAAGUAGCUGCCCACUUGUUGCGCCUGUGCCAACAUUUAGCUACCGAUUUGCGCGAGAUUAUCAAUUGAAUAUAAAUAAUAAGUGGGAGCGAAGUAGCUGACUGAGCAGCAAUCUGGGUGGCUCAGCUUUACUAUGGCCCCGCAAUUUUUCGCCCCAAUGCUCCGGUAACAAUGUAUGUAAUUUGAGUGGCCUGCCCGCAAAAAAACCAAAAAAAACUCAAGACCCGCGCUGAUCAGAGGGAGGCAUCCAUCCCCAAGUCCCCGGCUUUUCCCUCGUUCACGUGUGUAAUUGGAUUUUAAGAAGUAGCUGCGCGAGACAAGACUGAUUGAUAACCUCGCAUCAAAAGGUCCCAAACAACAGGCUGAAAUAAACGCCUUCAGUGGCUCUGGGGCUUUGAUGUUCGCGUUCGGCAGCGAAUAUCUUAAGAGGAUCAGAUAUAGACGAAUUUGUGAUACACUGAACUAAAUGGAUGGGAUGCAAAUAUUCUAGUAAAUUAAAUAUGAAAAAAGGUAUGAAAAUUCCAUUAUAAACUUGCGUUAUCUUUAAUCGCUGUAUGCAUUAUUUUAAGAACAAUUAAUACAGCUGUAAACUGCAGUCGAUCAGCUUUAUAGAAUUACAUUCUAUUAAUGAAGAAGGUCGGAAUAUUUGCUGCAUUUUUAUAUUAUAAUUAAAUUAAUAAAAAUUCAUUAAUUCAUUUGAAUGCUCCAGCAAACUCAGACAAUGAAUAAUGAAACCAAAAAAAUAUUAUUCAAAUUCAUAUUUUAUCUGGAAAGCUGUUAAUUAACGAAAUUAACACUCAAAGUGCAGGGUAUGCAGGAAAAACACGCAAUUCGGCUACUUGAUCGUCGGCGGGAACGAGAGCCGAUAGCACGAGGUACGAUAGGGAAAAGGGAGCCGCUCGAACAAGGCGUCCAACCGGGCCAAGAUCUGGAUUUUUUCUCCCCCUGCCCAUCCGCCGUGCGUGUUGGUCGCGUUUGUUGGCCAAUUGAAUUGCCAUGUUUAAUAUUAAUUGCCAGCGGAGCAAGCAGCUCGAACAUGGCGAGUUCCCUCGACUGGAGCGUAAUCAUGGGACAGUGAAUCAAUCAUUUCCACACGCGGCCCCCAGGUUUUCCCGGUCCACCCACAGACCCGCCCCAUUGAUUCAUGAAUUUAGCACACCUUAAAGACGAAUACUACAAUAUUUUAGCCACCAACACCAUAAUGGGAUUAGUUCUCUACGGUUUGUUAGUGGACCUGCUCUACACUCUAUACACUAUUUUUCGGAAAACUUAAGAGCGAAUAAUGUAACGAAAUAAAAGUGGAAAUUUUCUUACCCAUGUCUGUUGAUAUGCCGCCGUAUUGUGUUAAAUCAGAUCUUAUCUUACCUGAAAAUGCAAGCAAAGCGGAGAGAAGAAAACGUUUAAAAAAUGUGAAAUCAAAAUUGUUUGCUCUCAAGAGAUCUUGAGAUGCAGAUGGAUGGUGUUUGGACCAUAUGGGGGUACGUGGGGAUCUGGUGGUAGGGGAUCGUAGGGUUAACCAGCCGCACGUGUUGCGGAGCCGGUUAAGAUUUGCCAACCAAAGCUUUGUUGUUGUCGAUGGAAUAUUGGCAACUGACUAGAGAAAUAUAUAUAUAUAAAGGUACAAAAAGAUAACUGAUAAUUGGAAUCAAUUAGAGGCACGCAGAUUAUUUGGAUCUACAUUAAACAUUGCUAUAUUAGAUAACAAUAUUCAAUUAAAGUUAAUAGAUCGAUUUUAAUUAUUUGUAUGUAAAUAUAAAUUAAAAAACAAUUAAUAAGUCAUUCUCCCAGGUGUAAACUAUAACUACAUUCCUUCGAAUAACCCAUUUAAUAAUCAGUUUGGCGAAGCAGAUAAUUCAUUUCAAGAAGGGUGUUGUUUCAAAGCCACUCAAAGUGCACUUCAUAGCUCAUGAUAUCUCGUCUGGCACUACGAGAGUCUUUCAAAGUUUGAACUAGGGCUAUCAAUCGCGGCAUUAUCGCCUGUUUCUAUCGCAGUUUGCUGGAUGUCUCGCCUUUUUCACGAUAUUUAGCGUCGCCUCAGCUUUGUUUAUGCCAUGAAAGUGCAAAAUGUAAACAAUCCGAAAUGCCAACGCCUCGAAAUGGGUCGGUGAGGGGGCGUCGGCAGCUUGCCGUGGAGGUAAAAGGUAAAAGUAUAAAAAUAUGAUUUAAUGGCAGCGAUAAAACACGUGUGUAUUUAAAUAUGCGCGCCUGGCGCCUGAGUAAACGUAAUUUCCAGCUAACAGACACAGAGACAGCCGAGUGCCGCACACAGAUACUGCUACUAUGUGGCCAUCCAGACGCAAAGAAACAACAAAGAAAAUAUUAAAUUAAAAAAAAAGAACAAGAAAACGGCCAAAAACUAUGAGGGGGGGUAAAGGGUAUUAAAUUUGACAAACGCCUCGCUUUCCGCUCUGUCUUUUUUUUUCAUUCUUUCUGUAAAUGAAAAUGGGAAUUAUGAAGGAAAAAAAGAGGAAAACGUCCAGCCGCCACUUUAGACAAAUUCAAACAAAUGGCUGGCAAAAGGGGGGAUGCUGAGUGCUGUUUACAUGCGACGCGACUUGUAAAAAUUAAACAUUUAGUUUGCGGUCUUGCCCCCUAAAAACUGAGCUCAUGACCCCUCCCCACCAGCAAAUUUUCACACCUUUUCAAUGGGAGAAACUGAUUUUUAUGACUCUUUAAGGCGGCGCACGAUUCGUUUUUGUGGCGGAUUAGCCGCCAGUUGCAUAAAUGAGCAAUAGAGAGAGAGAGAGAGAGAGAGAGAUCUCCGGGAAAAUGCUCUCAUUUUCCGGCUGCAGCUUGCGGCGUCUUUGGCCUUUUAUUGCCCAUCAAAUGGGCUGAUAUAAAUCUUAAUUGCCGACCCAAAUAAAUAGACGCCAAGAGCAUGUGGCAUGGAGAACUUUGAGCAGACCAUCAAAUCCAACAGAAUGCAACUUGAACAUCCGAGCUAUUCACUUUCGAGUGGAAAACUCGUUAGCUAUUUAGCAUAAACACUUUCCCAGUUUGACCAGCAAACUGAUAACAACUGGCCGGCAACAACAAGUUCGAGAAGUUGCAGCCAGAAGAAGUCAUUAAGGAAACAUUAAAUUGACAUUAAUGUGGUUCCAAAAAGAGGAGGCGAAGGACUCAGCAGGAGGAGCCGAAAGUUCUGACCAAAGUUCUAGUUCAGAUAAAUCAAAAUAAAAAUCUAUAAAUUAUAGUGUAAAAGCAAAUGUUUGGAGAAUGCUUCGAACCAAUCGAUGACCCAACAACGAAAAAAUAUAUUCCAAGCUGCCAUAACAGUUACCCACAUUUUUGGCCAAGGCAUAUCUCGUAAAUCAUGAAGAGCUGGCCAAACAGGCUCUUGAGAAAAGGUAUCAACGAAUCCGAGAUGCCCUAAUUUUUUGCUACAGAGUGGGUAGGGGAAUCUAGUUUGGAAAACAUGGGAGUUUCCUUAUUAAAACGUUGUUUGUCUCUGAUUAACUUCUUUAUUCAUAUAAAAUAUUCUUACAUAUAGCAUGAACAGACGAAAGAAGUAUUUAUGCUUAAUGAUCGUCAAGCUUGUGAACAUGUGGCUUUGUGCCUACACUGGAAAAUAUAGUUUGUUUCAAUAUUUGUUUCUUAUUUUAAGGGCAUAAGUAAUGUGUCUUCUUAGGAAAGUAAGUUUUGGUCUUUAAUUUAUAAAGUUAAAUUUUUUCUCUCCAGUUCUAUUGGCCGAGCCACCUGAAGCCGCUCGACUGGACAAUUGUGAACCUAUUAAUCUUUGUCUUUUUAGUCUUGGAGAUUUCUAUCUUAAUUGAAGCUCAUUAUAAUAUGCGUUUCCUACGAUGCGGCGUGUUUGUUUGCUGGUAGUAGCCCAACUUCUGUUACACAACCCGAAGACAGGCGAUAUUCAAACGAGAUGGAGAUUGGGCGACUGGGAGACUGGUGGGCAGCUUUUGCACUCGGAGAACUUGGGGCCGUUGGAUUGUGGGGAUCAGAUCGCAAUCAGGCCGAAAUCCCGGCAAGAGGCCACCACCAAUGAAUUAUUAAUAAUAAAUAAAUCAUUAUUAAAAUCAAAAUAAUACGCAAAUAUGCAUAUUAUCGGAAACAACAUGGAGCGUUUUGUGUACGCGCGUGUGUGUGUGUAUUUGUUUCUUUUCAUGUUUACGCCACUUUCCCAUACAGACACACAAGUGGUUAUAAUGAAUGAUUUGUUGUUUUAUAAUAAACACGGCGAGCGUCGAGCAGCAAUGUUGGCGUCUUCCAAGUGGCGAUAUGGCUAUGACGUAGCCACCAAAGGGUUAAUGGAGGGGGUCUUCUGCUUCGGUAACUAACGUCUGCUAUAUGCAUGUUCCCAUACUCCCCCGUAUGUACACAUAUCACCAUAUUCUCGUCCCUUGUCCCUUUCCCUUCUGGCAUGGCUGCGCUCUAUCCAUCUCUCUUUCACCCCUUUGCAUGUGUUUUUGGCCGGGCCGUGUUGUUGUUUUUAUUAGGUAUCAAAAACACCUUAAAACAUGAUUUUGCAACUGCCACGGGAAGACGUCCGCACAGUGGGCCCACAAAUAUGAAUAAUAACGGCUUGUUCACAUGGCAUUUGUAUGUCAAAGAUGAUGAUCGAUAACGAAAAACUGCCAAUGUCACCAUACGGAAGAAACUCACUGUACACUAUACUCUAACAAUUAUUGCUUAUCUGCAAUCGGUUCUACAUGUAUAAUAGUUAUUGAUCACGAAAUUAUUUGAAAAAUACAGCACCUAAUCAUUUUUAAUGGGAUCAUUUGUGGGAGAACGAAUGAUUUUGAAUUGAUACUUUGAAUUGUAAUAAGUUUAACAACUUAGCGCCGUAAAUUGUGUUGUUAAAAUUUAUUUCAUAUUUUUCAGCAUUCACACUGACGUUCCAACUAAUUGACUUUUUUAUAAUACAACAUAUAUUAUUUUAUAAUAUAUAUACUUAUUUAUAUAUAUAUUUCCGGUAGUCAAUUUUUUAGUAGAUUAACUGUUAUAGCCUGUAAUGUUUUUGUAUGUAUUUAAAUUUUAAAGUGCUUAUGGUUUCAAUUUUUUUGAAUUAAAAAUCUUAGCAUUUGCCCAUUGCAACUUCGAGGGCUUCGAAAAAUACGAGGGAAAAGCCAAAAUUGCUCCUCGCCCUGCAGCUCCACGUUGUUGCCGUUGUUGUUGCUGCUGUUGUUGUUGGGCCAUGUGUCUGGGCCACUUUGUGUUGUCGUCGUUGGCGACGUCGACGUCUUGCAACUUUGGUCUCCUCGACCGCCAGUCGCAGUGCGAGUCCAACGACUUGAGGACUGAGGACCGCCAAGGUGCUUAUUAAAUUCCUUAUUUAAAAAUACAUUAAAAAAUGCAAGAAGCUGCCCCAGAACCCGAAAACCAAUCCCCGAAAAAGCAAAAUCGAUGCUCCAGAAGGGGAGACGACUGGCAAGGGGCAUUCGCAUCCCUAGCAUCCGCCACAGAAAUUGCGAUGCUCACAGGCGCUUUGAUUUGUUUCUGAUCUUGCUGAAUUUUGCAUUCUGCGCUCCGCGAAAAAAAUGAUUAAAAGCGCGCGUUGAAAGGUUUUCCUGUGUGCGUUCGCUUGCACUUCGCCAUUUACAUAAUCAGCGGCAUCAUCGACGCACUUCCCCUGGCAAUUAAUUGCAUGUUGCAACGGCAACUGUUGCCCGACAUUUGAACUGCACAAUUUUGGUGUGUCUCCUGCAGCCCACAGCCCAUUAACCUUGCAUGGAUAUGACGUGCCCUCCUCGGCCCUACGUGUUCCAUACAAUUGCAGGUAGUUGUGUAAGUGUAUAUGCUGGAAUACCAGGCAUCCUGAUAAUUACGUCACAGCGUGAGAGUUCUUUCCUCGGUAACUGCGGCAAAUAUGAAUUAUGAUUGCACCGAAACGUGUCAAUUGACCAUCCGCCCAGCUAUUCUCAAGGUCAUUGUGGGACAAAAAAAAGUAACAAGCCGCAACAAAAUCUAUUUAUGAGUUCGAACUGUGCUUACACUGGGAAAAACUUGAAUCAGUAUUGAAUUCUUCAUAAAAUCACAUUAAUAAAUUAGCAUGCGACUUUAUUACACA
This 9833-nucleotide long non-coding RNA is filed under the name Drosophila melanogaster (fruit fly). RNAcentral describes it as "PS4". The record is from RNAcentral. Lineage: Eukaryota; Metazoa; Arthropoda; Insecta; Diptera; Drosophilidae.